AGUGAACGCUGGCGGUAGGCCUAACACAUGCAAGUCGAACGGCAGCACAGGAGAGCUUGCUCUCUGGGUGGCGAGUGGCGGACGUGUGAGGAAUACAUCGGAAUCUACUUUUUCGUGGGGGAUAACGUAGGGAAACUUACGCUAAUACCGCAUACGACCUACGGGUGAAAGCAGGGGAUCUUCGGACCUUGCGCGAUUGAAUGAGCCGAUGUCGGAUUGGCUAGUUGGCGGGGUAAAGGCCCACCAAGGCGACGAUCCGUAGCUGGUCUGAGGGAGUGAUCAGCCACACGGGAACUGAGACACGGUCCAGACUCCUACGGGAGGCAGCAUUGGGGAAUAUUGGACAAUGGGCGCAAGCCUGAUCCAGCCAUACCGCGUGGGUGAAGAAGGCCUUCGGGUUGUAAAGCCCUUUUGUUGGGAAAGAAAUCCAGCUGGUUAAUACCCGGUUGGGAUGACGGUACCCAAAGAAUAAGCACCGGCUAACUUCGUGCCAGCAGCCGCCGUAA
RNAcentral lists this ribosomal RNA (506 nucleotides) under uncultured bacterium. RNAcentral's name for it is "partial 16S ribosomal RNA". It matches the Rfam family "Bacterial small subunit ribosomal RNA", at positions 29 to 523 of the family's 1533-position model. The record is from RNAcentral.